Molecule: ribosomal RNA, 257 nt
Filed under: uncultured bacterium
Lineage: Bacteria
Description: partial 16S ribosomal RNA
Rfam family: Bacterial small subunit ribosomal RNA
Source: RNAcentral
GUCCACGCCGUAAACGAUGGAUACUAGCUGUUGGGCGCAAGUUCAGUGGCUAAGCGAAAGUGAUAAGUAUCCCACCUGGGGAGUACGUUCGCAAGAAUGAACUCAAAGGAAUUGACGGGGGCCCGCACAAGCGGUGGAGCAUGUGGUUAAUUCGAUGAUACGCGAGGAACCUUACCAAAGGCUUAAAAUGUAGUUUGACCGGACUGGAAACAGUUUUUUCGCAAAGACAAAAUUACAAGGUGCUGCAUGGUUGUCGU